GAGAGAAAGACUACCAGCCUGAAGCAGAGCUUCUGUGUGAAUAAGCUUGAGGGAAGGAGGCAAAAAAUGGGUGUGUGUGUGGAGGAUUCACACUGCAAUUUUGAAAAAAGUCUACUCAGAGUUUCAGCUUGCCACAGGGGGUCACAAAGCCAAGAGCGAGAUGGCGUAAUGAAGAGCAAUUGCACCUAUGUGCUGAAUAUCCACUUUUUUUUUGGCCUUUUAAUGGACUGGGGAAGGAACUGAGGGAUGAUUUUCAUUGGACAGCAGGAAAAUGAGAGAGAAAGCACGGGCCUAUGAGAAACAUUUGGAAGAGAGGCACUAGCAGAAUAAAUUAAUGAAGAGAACAGAAGGCAAGGGAAUUCCCCUGCAUCCCAUAGGGAAAGCAAGAGAACAGCAGGGGAGGGAAUCCCUUAGUAUUCAUUGGGGAGAAAAGAAGGGACUCUCUCCCCAACCAGUGGGAGAGGACAAGCGCUAGGAGAAAUUCACACACUGUGUGUUAUCCAGCCAGCCUGCUAAUUACAUCAGAGCAACUCUGUACAUCAGUCACACAACCUCUGUUCCUCACACUGCACAGCAAAGAUCACAUGCUUCAGAACAUCAGAUGGUCUUCUAGGGAUGUGUUAACAUAAAUGUGGUCUGAUGUGUUUUAUGCCUUUUAAAAAUUUGAUAAGCAAUGAGAUUGCCUCAGGCUUCCAGCAUUUUUCUAUGAGUUGAAGGGGAUGGAUCCAUUCCCACUGUGGUUUAAAUUGGUGAACAAGAAAAUUGCAAAGAGGAGAGUUAAGAGUGAAAAAAUAAAAUAAA
Long non-coding RNA from Rhineura floridana, 801 nucleotides. RefSeq lists it as uncharacterized. NCBI's taxonomy places the organism in Eukaryota, Metazoa, Chordata, Lepidosauria, Squamata, Rhineuridae. The transcript is spliced from 3 exons. The record is from RefSeq and is a predicted model, not a curated record.